AAAUAUUUCUAGACAUGCCUCACAUAUUUUAUACUUUUAACUUUUCAGGCCAAAAUGACGCUAAUGUGCCAAUGGCCCCAAGCACGAAAGGUCUAAAAGGUGGGGCUAUUGCUAGAUUAUCUGCUGGAGCAGUAGUUGGCGUUCUCUUAUUGG
Molecule: long non-coding RNA, 153 nt
Organism: Neltuma alba
Lineage: Eukaryota; Viridiplantae; Streptophyta; Magnoliopsida; Fabales; Fabaceae
Exons: 3
Source: RefSeq, a predicted model, not a curated record